This 253-nucleotide ribosomal RNA is filed under the name uncultured bacterium. RNAcentral describes it as "partial 16S ribosomal RNA". It matches the Rfam family "Bacterial small subunit ribosomal RNA", at positions 524 to 776 of the family's 1533-position model. The record is from RNAcentral.
UACGUAGGGUGCAAGCGUUGUCCGGAAUUAUUGGGCGUAAAGAGCUCGUAGGCGGUCUGUCACGUCGGCUGUGAAAACCCGAGGCUCAACCUCGGGCCUGCAGUCGAUACGGGCAGACUAGAGUUCGGUAGGGGAGACUGGAAUUCCUGGUGUAGCGGUGGAAUGCGCAGAUAUCAGGAGGAACACCGAUGGCGAAGGCAGGUCUCUGGGCCACUACUGACGCUGAGAAGCGAAAGCAUGGGGAGCGAACAGG